GGGCCACCACCAAGCCAUCAACGGGGAGUGGGACCUCGCCGGCAUCGCGCACCGGGCCUACGACCUGGAGGGCAAGACGGUGGGCACCGUCGGCGCCGGCCGCAUCGGGAAGCUGCUGCUCCAGCGCCUCAAGCCAUUCGGCUGCAACCUGCUCUACCACGACAGGCUCCGCGUCGACGCCGCGCUGGAGAAGGAGCUCGGCGCCGCCUUCGAGGAGGACCUCGACGCCAUGCUGCCCAAGUGCGACGUCGUCGUGCUCAACA
This 263-nucleotide long non-coding RNA is filed under the name Triticum aestivum (bread wheat). RNAcentral describes it as "long non-coding RNA (TAES_LNC012266)". Lineage: Eukaryota; Viridiplantae; Streptophyta; Magnoliopsida; Poales; Poaceae. The record is from RNAcentral.